AGAGUUUAAUCCUGACUCAAAAUGAAUGCUGGUGGCAUGCUUAACACGUGUAAGUCGAAUAAGAAGUGGGGUUUCCAGUGGUAGACGGGUGAAUAAUGUGUAAGAACCUAUCCUUGGGAGGUGAACAGUAGCUGGAAACGGCUGCUAAUACCCUGUAGGCUGAGGAGUAAAAGGAGGAAUACGCCCGAGGAGGGGCUUAUGUCUGAUUAGCUAGUUGGUGAGGCAAUAGCUUACCAAGGCAAUGAUCAGUAGUUGGUCCGAGAGGAUGAUCAACCACACUGGGACUGAGACACGACCCAAACUCCUGUAGAAGCCAGUAGUGGGAAAUUUUCUACAAUGGGCGAAAGCUUGACGGAGCAACUCCACAUGGAGGUAGAAGGCCCAUGGGUCGUGAACUUCUUUUCCCAGAGAAGAAGCAAUGACGAUAACUGGGGAAUAAGUAUCAGCUAACUUUGUGCCAGCAGAUGUGGUAAGAAAAAUGAUGCAAGAUAGAGGAUGCAAGCAUUAUCCAGAAUGAUUGGGUGUAAAGCGUCUAUAGGUAGCUUUUUAAGUCAGCCGUCAAAUCCCAAGGCUCAACCAUGGAUAGGUGGUGGAAACUACCAAGUUGGAAUACGGUAGGGGUAGAGGAAAUUUUCGGUGGAGUGGUGAAAGCGUAGAGAUUGAAAAGAACACCAAUAGCGAAAGCAUCCUACUGGGUUGACAUUGACACCGAGAGAAGAAAGCUAGAGGAGCGAAUGGGAUUAGAUACCCCAGUAGUCCUAGCAGUAAGCAAUGGAUACUAGGUGAUGUGCGUAUCGACCCGUGCAGUGCUGUAGCUAACACAUUAAGUAUCCCACCUGGAGAGUACGUUCGCAAGAAUGAAACUCAAAGGAAUUGAUGGGGUCCUGCACAAGCGGUGGAGCAUGUGGUUUAAUUCAAUGCAAAGCUAAGAACGUUACCGAGGCUUGAUAUGCUGUGAAUCCUCUUGAAAGAGAGGGAUGCCUUUGGGAACGAGGACACAGGUGGUACAUGGCUGCUGUCAGCUCGUGUCAUAAUCUGUUGGGUUAAGUCCCACAACAAGCGCAAGCCUUGUGUUUAGUUUCCAUCGUUGAGUUUGGUACCCUGAACAGACUACAGGUGAUAAGUCAAAGGAAAGUGAGGAUGACGUCAAGUCAUCAUGCCCCUUACGCCUUGGGCGACACGUGCUAUAAUGGCCAGGACAAAGGGUCACGAUCUCGUGAGGGUGAGCUAACCCUAAAAACCCAUUCUCAGUUCAGAUUAUAGGCUGCAACUUGCCUGCAUGAAGUCGGAAUCGCUAGUAAUCGCUGGUCAUCCAUACGACGGUGAAUUCAUUCCUGAGCCUUGUACACAUCGCCCGUCAUACUAUGGAAGCUGGCCAUGCCCGAAGUCAUUACCUUAACAGCAAAGAGGGGGAUGUCGAAGGUAGGACUAGUGACUGGAGUGAAGUUGUGACAAAGUAGCCGUACUGGAAGGUACGGCUG
This 1481-nucleotide ribosomal RNA is filed under the name Olea europaea var. sylvestris. RNAcentral describes it as "bacterial SSU rRNA". It matches the Rfam family "Bacterial small subunit ribosomal RNA". Lineage: Eukaryota; Viridiplantae; Streptophyta; Magnoliopsida; Lamiales; Oleaceae. The record is from RNAcentral.